UACGUAGGGGGCGAGCGUUGUCCGAAUUUACUGGGCGUAAAGCGCGCGUAGGCGGGUAUGCAAGUUGCGGGUGAAAUCCCGAGGCUCAACCUCGGAGCUGCCUGCAAAACUGUAUACCUUGAGGUAUGGAGAGGGAAGUGGAAUUCCUGGUGUAGCGGUGAAAUGCGUAGAUAUCAGGAGGAACACCCGUGGCGAAGGCGGCUUCCUGGCCAUAUUCCUGACGCUGAGGUGCGAAAGCUAGGGGA
This 245-nucleotide ribosomal RNA is filed under the name uncultured bacterium. Its description in RNAcentral is "partial 16S ribosomal RNA". It matches the Rfam family "Bacterial small subunit ribosomal RNA", at positions 524 to 767 of the family's 1533-position model. The record is from RNAcentral.